RNAcentral lists this ribosomal RNA (305 nucleotides) under uncultured bacterium. Its description in RNAcentral is "bacterial SSU rRNA". It matches the Rfam family "Bacterial small subunit ribosomal RNA", at positions 335 to 657 of the family's 1533-position model. The record is from RNAcentral.
UAGCCUACGGGGGGCAGCAGUGGGGAAUAUUGCACAAUGGGGGAAACCCUGAUGCAGCGACGCCGCGUGAGUGAAGAAGUAUUUCGGUAUGUAAAGCUCUAUCAGCAGGGAAGAAAAUGACGGUACCUGACUAAGAAGCCCCGGCUAACUACGUGCCAGCAGCCGCGGUAAUACGUAGGGGGCAAGCGUUAUCCGGAUUUACUGGGUGUAAAGGGAGCGUAGACGGCAGUGCAAGCCUGGAGUGAAAGGAUGGGGCCCAACCCCAUGACUGCUCUGGGAACUGUACAGCUAGAGUGCCGGAGGGG